Pseudophryne corroboree (corroboree frog) is the source of this 273-nucleotide long non-coding RNA. RefSeq lists it as uncharacterized. Lineage: Eukaryota; Metazoa; Chordata; Amphibia; Anura; Myobatrachidae. The record is from RefSeq and is a predicted model, not a curated record. The transcript has 3 exons.
AUGGCAAGUAAACUAGUGGUCCUGUGCGCUAUACUACACAACAUCGCGGUAAGGAGUAGCGUAGAGCUUCCUCAGACAGAGGAAUUGCCUGAUGAGGAGCCAGGGGUUGUCCGACACUUCGGUGGGGGGAGUGUUACACGGAGGGGGAGCCAAGUCAGGGCAAGCAUUGUUGCGGAAUAUUUCAGCUGAAUGAUCACACAAACUGUGGACGACCACAACGGCAAGCAACACAUGAGGCACCAUCUCAGCCCCCUUCCCCUUCUCACUCCCCCU